GACGAACCGUCCAAACGUUGUUCGGAAUCACUGGGCUUAAAGGGCGCGUAGGCGGGAUCGUAAGUCAGGGGUGAAAUCCCACGGCUCAACCGUGGAAGUGCCUUUGAUACUGCGGACCUCGAGGUGGGCAGGGGCGUGCGGAACUUCCGGUGGAGCGGUGAAAUGCGUAGAUAUCGGAAGGAACACCGGUGGCGAAAGCGGCACGCUGGGCCCGUACUGACGCUGAGGCGCGAAAGCCAGGGUAGCAAACGGG
Molecule: ribosomal RNA, 253 nt
Filed under: uncultured bacterium
Lineage: Bacteria
Description: partial 16S ribosomal RNA
Rfam family: Bacterial small subunit ribosomal RNA
Source: RNAcentral